Molecule: RNA transcript, 4577 nt
Organism: Dama dama (fallow deer)
Lineage: Eukaryota; Metazoa; Chordata; Mammalia; Artiodactyla; Cervidae
Exons: 3
Source: RefSeq, a predicted model, not a curated record
ACACGGUCUGUCCUCUGAGAGCUGUGACCCACCAAGGGGCUUCAAUGUCCAUCACUCCAAGUUUUUGUUGUGACGAGACAAAGAACCGAGGAGCAUACACUCGUGUGACAUCUCUGGUGCCGUGACUCGGAUUUAACCUGGCUGAAACAACCUCCAAGCUGAAGAGGCCAAGCGCAGCAGGAGCCCAACUCAGUGAAGCUCCUGUAGAAGUGGAACGCGAAGAAAACCCAGCGCAGUGGAAGGCCGUCGUGCUGGAAACCGGUGUAGUGAAAAACGAACUCGGCAGAAAGCCCACGUGGCUCAGCCUCACAUUCCAGACGACCUCCGGUUAAGGUAGGAGGUCCUCGCUCCUAUGGCUGGAAGGACAUGCCUAACAAUUACAAUCUCUCGUUUCUCAUUUCCUUGAACCUCCCGCGAACAGGCAGGCGGCAGUGGGUGCAAUUGAGGGACUCUGGAGAGGCUAUUUUUCAGUAUGUCCCAAAGGCACUAUCUGCUGGGCCCCAGUAGCGGUUACCGAAGCUGGUGGGGGUUCUUUUGUUCUUACUCUUUGUGCCAAAAAUCAGGCCAAUGAAAACUGUGAGCACCGGCUAGAUAUCUAGCAAACUUUCCAGUAGGCUAUGAAGGGGAUUCCUUGGCACACCUUUCCCACUGCUUUUCCCUCUUUUCCUUCAGCUCUCUCUCCCGGGAUGCGAGCCCGACCAAAACCCAGGAUGCCCAGCUCAGGCUCUGAGGUCUUAUUACAAAAAUUCAGUGAUAGACAAAGCGAUAAGUGGGAGGUGGAUUUGCUAGGAUUCAGAGAAAAGCACCCAUUCUAUAGGGUACCGGCCAUGGAAUGUGACCUAACUAAGUUUUGCAAACGGGGAGAAUUCAUAUGCUAAUGAGUGGGAGGAUCAUCCCAGCCAUUGGGGAACCACCCACUCCUCCCUCUGUUGACAGUGCCUUAGGGCUGUUCUGUCAUCUCUGGGUGUGUCUUUUGGUUUACCGAUUGGGGAUUAAAGUUUGCUGGAAUUUGACUUGUCUUGAUAGACCCAAUUGACUUUAUUAAUCGGUUUACGUUAUGCCCUGGUGCUAUGUCAUUCUUCCAAAGGUUGUGCUCUGCCCCUCUUCCUUCCUGUUUCAUGCUCCUUUCCUCAGCCCCAUCCGGGCCCACAAUGUUGCCUCUACAGUCUUCUAGAGGGAUAACCAAAAAAUAGCUGGCCUUAGGAGGCAAGUACUGUAUAAUAUCCAACCCCUUAGUCCUACCUAGCAUUGGUCACACUGGAGAUCUUGGGGACGCCCAAACUCCAGUCCAGGGGUCCCAGGAGGUCAUCACGCCUUGACCUGCCUAGGGAUCUGGUUCUUGAAAUGUUGUCACGCCUCAGCCUUUUGGGGAUCCGCCAGUCCCAAGGGUCCCAGGAGGUCGUCACGCCUCGACCCGCCCAGGGGCUCAAUUCUCAGGAGGCCGUCAUGCCUCGACCUGCCCAGGGAUUCGAUCUCAGGAGGCUGUCACGCCUCAGCCUGCCUGGAGAUCUGCAUCCUGACCCGGGGACGCCUGGCUCUCAGGUUGCUACAGUACUGGGUAGGAUAAGCUUCAAAAAGCCUAUUAGUUUUUUUCUUUUCCUUUUCCUCCCUAACAUGACUGUUUUUCAGAUGGGAAAUAACCAAUCCAUUUCCCGGCAGACGCCCUUGAGAUGCAUCCUUGACAACUGGAAGCUGUUCGAUCCUCUAGCUCUGAGGAAGGGUCGUUUGAAAUUCUUUUGUGCCACUGCGUGGCCAUGGUAUCCACUGGGGAACGAGGAACACUGGCCCGAGGAUGGGACUUUAAAUUACAAUACCAUCCUGCAAUUAGAAUUAUUCUGCAAAAGACAAGGGAAAUGGACAGAGAUCCCCUAUGUCCAAAUUUUCUUCAGACUGAGAGAUAUGAAGGAACUCUGUCUUAAGUAUGGGAUUGUUGUACGCCCUAAAAGUGAGCCCACUAGGCAAAUGGUGUUAGGCACAGGCAACCAAGAGAAGGAAGCCCCCCGUGAAGGCUCACCUCCCACAGCUCCCGAGUUGCCUGGUGCUUCUUCCUUGCCUCCAAGCGUUCCCCCAUAUCCAGGAACACCCCCUCCACAAAAGUCAGCUCGAGUAUGUCCCUUAGUUGAAACUGGAGGAGAAUUCAGACCAUCCCGAGUCCAUAAACCCUUCUCCCUCUUAGAACUAAGACAGAUCAAACAAGACCUGGGAAGCUAUACAGAUGACCCAGGCAAAUACAUAGAUACGUUCCAACAUAUUACCUUGGCCUUUGACUUGACUUGGAAGGACACCAUGGUCAUAUUUAGUCAAACUUUAUCUGACCCUGAACAUACUAGGGUCUUAAAGGAAGCCCGGAGGUAUGCAGCAGGGCUUCACAUGUCAAACGAUAGAUACCCAGUAGGGGAAACUGCAAUUCCCUCCUCUGAUCCUAACUGGAAUUAUAAUGACCCUGAGCACAUCUGGGAAAGAGAUCAUUUUCUAAUCUGUAUAAAGGCAGGACUGAAAGCAGCCCAGCAAAAAGUAAUCUGCUAUGCCCAGGUCUCAGCAAUAACUCAGGAGUCCAAUGAGAACCCCAUUGCCUUUCUGGAAAGGCUGAAAGAGGCCCUCCAAAAGUUUACCAAUUUGGACUUAGACUCUUACGAAGGACAGGUGAUUUUAAAGGACAAAUUCCUGUCCCAAUGUGCAUCAGAUAUCAGAAUUAAGUUACAACAGCUAUAGCAGCAGGACUCUGCUGCCUCUUUAGAUGAGAUGAUCCAGACAGCCACCAAUACCUUUUAUAACAGAGAACAGGAGAAGGAGGCCAAGGCCCAAGCGAGGGAGAGAAGAAAAGAGACAAGGCAUGCCCAGAUGCUGGCCGCCCUCCAGGGAAGCCCUAUGGCACACCCCGAGCCCUUGAAUGACAAGGCACGAAGCAAACGCCUAAUCUGUAGACAAGCGGAGCAUUGGGCCAAAGAGUGUCCUAACCGUGACAAGUCUCCUAGAACAGCUUGCCACAAAUGCCAUCAACUGGGACAUUGGGCGGCACUCUGCCCUCGGGACCCAAGAGCCUUAAGGUCAAGCGCCAAGCCUUCCCUCACGAUGGUUCAAGAGGACUGAAGCAGCCUGCUCCAGCCAGCCUGCCUGUCACGGAUAACCAUCACGGGGCUGGAGCCAAGGGUGCAACUGGAUGUGGCAGGGCUCUCUCCCCUUUCACUCCUGUCUAGAAACCUUGGACCACUGGACAAAACCCCGAGAGGGAUUGUCAGAAGAUGCUCUGAUCAAUCCUGAAGAAAUCUGGUACACUGACGGAAGCAUCUUUGUCUUGGAUGGAAAAAGAAGAGCCGGAUAUGCAGUAGUCUCCAAUUUUGAGAUCAUAGAGGCUAAGCCUCUGCUGCCAGCGGUCAAGGUGCCAGGACAUGACUCCUGGAUUCACUACUCACGAGUCAAGCCAUGGAAGAAAACAGAAGAGGACACUCAAUACACCUGUGAGCCCCUGGGAGAUCUCAGAUACCGAUUCAGAACUACAAAUGAGUGCCAUUCUAAUAAACAACCCCAAAAUCUGGUCUCUGGGGAUAAGAUUUCUCAAGACAGCUCUAAAGAGCCAACACAGCUUUGCAGAAGUAAUACUCCAAAACAGACAGGAGAUAGUUCUUCUGAUCUCUGAACAAGGAGAGACUUGAGCCAUCCUGGUGAUGUGAAUUUAAAAUUGGCUAAUGCCCCUACUAGUCCUUGUUAUGCCACACUGAUGCUGCUAAUGACUGUUCCAUGUACUGUCAAUGGUCUAACCUGUCUUGUCUCUGCCCAGGUCAAGCUACAACAUGCAGCGCCAGUUCAACAAAGAUACAAAACUACAGCCAACCACGGAAAACAUCAGUCACCCUUAGACGGACACCGCUAGAAGGACUCUGAGGCCUGAGACUAGCAAGAGGGGGAGGCCCAAUGCCCCUCGCCAUCCCAGUUCAGCAGGAAGUAGCCAGAGAGACCUCAACACCCCUAUUCCCAAAGGACUGGGCCUCCCAUCUCUUGAGGGGGGAAUGUUAGUUAGUUAGAAUAGGGAUAAGGAGUCUAAAAUGGCGGUGGCUAAAAGACCUGGAAAGGAAAAGCCCGCGAAAAUAGAACAAAGGAAGGUCCGAGGACCAGAGUGAGAACCUCAGAUAAAACAAACAACGCUCCUGCCUAAGCCCAAUUUGCAUAGGACAGGCCCAGGGGGAACAAAAAAACAUAUAAAAAGAGGAGUCAAAGCCCUCUUCUCUCUCUCUCUCCCCUCUCUCUCUCCCGCACGAUGGGGCACUCUUCUCUUUGUGUCUUUGGAUCGACGUGCCCUCACGCCUCAAAGAUGGAUUUUCCUGCUAUUAUCUAAAUAAAUAAAGCUGUAACACUGAUUUAUUUAAGAGCUAUAACACCGUCUGUCCUCCUAGAGCUGUGACCCACCAAGGGGCUUCGAGGUCCGUCACUCCAAAUUUUUGUUGUGAUGAGACAAAGAACCGAGGAGCAUACACUCACCUGACAGUUUAUUUUGGCUUCCUCUCUUUGCAAGUCCCUUCAGUGCCUAAUUUCUGCCCUGACAGAAGGGGACGAAGGUGGUCACUUUAUUUAGGCUUACU